Molecule: long non-coding RNA, 121 nt
Organism: Xiphophorus hellerii (green swordtail)
Lineage: Eukaryota; Metazoa; Chordata; Actinopteri; Cyprinodontiformes; Poeciliidae
Exons: 2
Source: RefSeq, a predicted model, not a curated record
AGUCCACAAUAGAUCCAAGAACAAAAAGAGAAUAAUUAUGUUCCCUUUUCAAUACUCAGAGUUUAGUACCAAAUUUCAUCGCUGCACCAACAUGGAAUGCAACACCAAUAAAGAAAUCAUG